This 399-nucleotide long non-coding RNA is filed under the name Musa acuminata (dwarf banana). RNAcentral's name for it is "long non-coding RNA (MACU_LNC009923)". The record is from RNAcentral. Lineage: Eukaryota; Viridiplantae; Streptophyta; Magnoliopsida; Zingiberales; Musaceae.
UUUGGUCGAUGGAAAGACAGACUACAACUCCCAUGCAUGGCCUCUGCCAUCAUGUUGUAGGGUUUGCACGAUUAUGUUCUCCUUAGCUUCCUUGGUAGCAACGUUCGCUUACUCGGCCUUGUCCUCUGACUUGUCGGGCUCCCUUAAGCAAAUAUGAGCUCUGGAGCAGUCCAACUCUCCAGCUGCUUCGAUCAUACCUCUGCAUGAUCAAGUCCCCCCCAUGGAACUCACUGGUACUUGCAUUCGAACUUUUCCCUUGGUGGAACCCAGCCCCCAUAUGCUGAUGACUAAGGUUUUCAUCCGAUGCAAAAUUCGAUGCACGCACAGAAGACGCGCCUCUAUGGUACCAUGGCCUUCACUCCUUAAAUCCAUAGCCCUUCUUGCCGUCGUGUUGUUCAC